This 403-nucleotide ribosomal RNA is filed under the name uncultured bacterium. RNAcentral describes it as "partial 16S ribosomal RNA". It matches the Rfam family "Bacterial small subunit ribosomal RNA", at positions 30 to 526 of the family's 1533-position model. The record is from RNAcentral.
AUUGAACGCUGGCGGCAGGCCUAACACAUGCAAGUCGAACGAGCGGCGGACGGGUGAGUAAUGUAUGGGGACUGCCCGAUAGAGGGGGAUAAAUACUGGAAACGGUAGCUAAUACCGCAUACUAACGGAGAACCCAUAUGGGAUUAGCUAGUAGGUGAGGUAAUGGACCACCUAGGCGACGAUCCCUAGCUGGGCUGAGAGGAUGAUCAGCCACACUGGGACUGAGACACGGCCCAGACUCCUACGGAGGCAGCAGUGGGGAAUAUUGCACAAUGGGCGCAAGCCUGAUGCAGCCAGGCCGCGUGUAUGAAGAAGGCCCUCGGGUUGUAAAGUACUUUCAGUGGGGAGGCGUUACCGACAGAAGAAGCACCGGCUAACUCCGUGCCAGCAGCCGCGGUAAUUC